Non-coding RNA from Hordeum vulgare subsp. vulgare (domesticated barley), 136 nucleotides. Lineage: Eukaryota; Viridiplantae; Streptophyta; Magnoliopsida; Poales; Poaceae. The record is from Rfam.
AACAUACUUCCUCCGUUUUAAAAUUUCUGUCUUAGGUUUGUUUAGAAAUGAAUGUAUCUAAAUACUAAAAUAUGAUUAGAUACAUUCAUAUCUAGACAAAUUUAAAAUAUUUUUUUUGAAAGGGAGGAAGUAUAUA